Molecule: non-coding RNA, 85 nt
Organism: Laetiporus sulphureus 93-53
Lineage: Eukaryota; Fungi; Basidiomycota; Agaricomycetes; Polyporales; Laetiporaceae
Source: the annotation of a RefSeq genome assembly
UCUCUGGUAGUAUAUCGGUCAGUACACGCGCCUGUCAUUGGAUGAUGGCGCGCGCGAAAGCGGGGUUCGACUCCCCGCCAGAGAG